UCCACAAAGACGACCUUCACAUGGGUCUGGCAGUUUUAAGAAGAGGCCAAGCAAGAGACGCCGUCCUGAUGUGCCAGCGACACCAGCAUUAUCGCCACCACAACGUCGCAUCUCCACUGUGUCGGGUCAGCCACCAGAAGCCAUUUUGGCCAGUCCGCAAUCCCAGGAAGCACAUUCCCCUCAGCUGUCUGAUGCUGACAUCAUGCCCCAGGAUCCCCAGCAGGAAACCGAUUUGCAGGAAACCUACACACUAUACCUGCAAGCUAUUGACCCAAACCAACCAGCCACGCCGCCUGAAAGUAGUCCGCAACCCCAAACAUCCCCAACCCUCCAGUUGAGCCCAACACCACCCCAGCCACAAAUUGACCAAUCAUUUUGGGACAGUUGGACAACACAACAGGCUCAAAAUUAUCAAUGUCUGCGCACACACAGCCAAUAUCUGGCCAGUCUGCUCCAUCAUCUACCUAGACUCAGUAGAAACACAAGCAGAGUCUAUGUACAUCUAGGCAGAGUGGCCAAUACAAUGGAGAUGAUGAAAGCAGACAACAGCCAACUUAUAGAUAGUUUUCAGCACAUAAUGGAUGAGCAACACCGCCAUCAGCAAGCCCUCAUUCAACUUAUCCAAAACAAUCAGCUUAUCACUGAAAGCCUGUCCCGAAUCAUCGCUAACAACACAGCCGCAUCAACCCAACUUACAGCAACCCUGUCCAACCUGAGUCAAAAUAUAAAUUUGUUGGCAUCACAGCAACAAGGAUCCAGCUCAGGGACAACUACACCUAGCCAAACCCCAAUUAGCUCCCCAGUUCGAAGAUCGAGCAGAACACGCUCCAAUGUGCCAUCUCAAACUUCUGCAGCCAGCAAACAACCCCCUAAGAAAUAAGCAACCCUGCAGCUGUGUCCACAUUAUUUGGCAGCAUAUGACAACAAUAUUGAAUUGUGGGAGACACUAUGACAUUUUUUAAGGUAAUAAAUUGUUAAAACGC
Pseudophryne corroboree (corroboree frog) is the source of this 983-nucleotide long non-coding RNA. RefSeq lists it as uncharacterized. The transcript has 2 exons. The record is from RefSeq and is a predicted model, not a curated record. NCBI's taxonomy places the organism in Eukaryota, Metazoa, Chordata, Amphibia, Anura, Myobatrachidae.